This is a non-coding RNA of Triticum aestivum (bread wheat), 125 nucleotides long. The record is from Rfam. NCBI's taxonomy places the organism in Eukaryota, Viridiplantae, Streptophyta, Magnoliopsida, Poales, Poaceae.
UUAGUACUCCCUCCGUUCGAAAAUACUUGUCAUAGAGAUGGAUGUAUUUAGACGUAUUUUAGUUAUAGAUAUAUUCAUUUUCAUUCAUUUCUGCGACAAGUAAUUCCGAACGGAGGGAGUAGCUC